CAGCGCCACGAGUGGCAAUCAUGUAUUUGGCCUAAAGCGUCCGUAGCCGGUUUGGCAAAUCUUCUGUGAAAUCGAGCAGCUCAACUGUUCGGCGGGCAGGAGACACUACCAAACUUGGAACCGGGAGGGGUACAGAGUAUUCCAGGGGAAGCGGUAAAAUGCUAUAAUCCCUGGAGGACUACCUAUGGCGAAGGCACUGUACCAGAACGGAUUCGACGGUGAGGGACGAAAGCCAGGGGAGCGAUCCGGAUUAGAUACCCGCGUAGUCC
Molecule: ribosomal RNA, 269 nt
Filed under: uncultured archaeon
Lineage: Archaea
Description: partial 16S ribosomal RNA
Rfam family: Archaeal small subunit ribosomal RNA
Source: RNAcentral